ACCUUCGGGCCUCUUGCCAUCAGAUGUGCCCAGAUGGGAUUAGCUUGUUGGUGAGGUAACGGCUCACCAAGGCGACGAUCCCUAGCUGGUCUGAGAGGAUGACCAGCCACACUGGAACUGAGACACGGUCCAGACUCCUACGGGAGGCAGCAGUGGGGAAUAUUGCACAAUGGGCGCAAGCCUGAUGCAGCCAUGCCGCGUGUAUGAAGAAGGCCUUCGGGUUGUAAAGUACUUUCAGCGGGGAGGAAGGUGUUGUGGUUAAUAACCGCAGCAAUUGACGUUACCCGCAGAAGAAGCACCGGCUAACUCCGUGCCAGCAGCCGCGGUAAUACGGAGGGUGCAAGCGUUAAUCGGAAUUACUGGGCGUAAAGCGCACGCAGGCGGUCUGUCAAGUCGGAUGUGAAAUCCCCGGGCUCAACCUGGGAACUGCAUUCGAAACU
This 440-nucleotide ribosomal RNA is filed under the name Salmonella enterica. Its description in RNAcentral is "bacterial SSU rRNA". It matches the Rfam family "Bacterial small subunit ribosomal RNA", at positions 199 to 634 of the family's 1533-position model. Lineage: Bacteria; Pseudomonadati; Pseudomonadota; Gammaproteobacteria; Enterobacterales; Enterobacteriaceae. The record is from RNAcentral. RNAcentral also lists the same sequence under 2 other names.